This 1530-nucleotide ribosomal RNA is filed under the name Pseudomonas sp. CBZ-4. Its description in RNAcentral is "bacterial LSU rRNA". It matches the Rfam family "Bacterial large subunit ribosomal RNA", at positions 1311 to 2831 of the family's 2925-position model. Lineage: Bacteria; Pseudomonadati; Pseudomonadota; Gammaproteobacteria; Pseudomonadales; Pseudomonadaceae. The record is from RNAcentral.
GACAAUGGGUGUAAAAACCACCCACGCCGAAAGACCAAGGUUUCCUGCGCAACGUUAAUCGACGCAGGGUUAGUCGGUCCCUAAGGCGAGGCUGAAAAGCGUAGUCGAUGGAAAACAGGUUAAUAUUCCUGUACUUCUGGUUAUUGCGAUGGAGGGACGGAGAAGGCUAGGCCAGCUUGGCGUUGGUUGUCCAAGUUUAAGGUGGUAGGCUGGAAUCUUAGGUAAAUCCGGGAUUCUAAGGCCGAGAGCUGAUGACGAGUUAACUUUUAGUUAACGAAGUGGUUGAUGCCAUGCUUCCAAGAAAAGCUUCUAAGCUUCAGGUAACCAGGAACCGUACCCCAAACCGACACAGGUGGUUGGGUAGAGAAUACCAAGGCGCUUGAGAGAACUCGGGUGAAGGAACUAGGCAAAAUGGCACCGUAACUUCGGGAGAAGGUGCGCCGGUGAGGGUGAAGGACUUGCUCCGUAAGCUCAUGCCGGUCGAAGAUACCAGGCCGCUGCGACUGUUUAUUAAAAACACAGCACUCUGCAAACACGAAAGUGGACGUAUAGGGUGUGACGCCUGCCCGGUGCCGGAAGGUUAAUUGAUGGGGUUAGCUAACGCGAAGCUCUUGAUCGAAGCCCCGGUAAACGGCGGCCGUAACUAUAACGGUCCUAAGGUAGCGAAAUUCCUUGUCGGGUAAGUUCCGACCUGCACGAAUGGCGUAACGAUGGCGGCGCUGUCUCCACCCGAGACUCAGUGAAAUUGAAAUCGCUGUGAAGAUGCAGUGUAUCCGCGGCUAGACGGAAAGACCCCGUGAACCUUUACUAUAGCUUUGCACUGGACUUUGAAUUUGCUUGUGUAGGAUAGGUGGGAGGCUUUGAAGCGUGGACGCCAGUCUGCGUGGAGCCAACCUUGAAAUACCACCCUGGCAACUUUGAGGUUCUAACUCAGGUCCGUUAUCCGGAUCGAGGACAGUGUAUGGUGGGUAGUUUGACUGGGGCGGUCUCCUCCUAAAGAGUAACGGAGGAGUACGAAGGUGCGCUCAGACCGGUCGGAAAUCGGUCGUAGAGUAUAAAGGCAAAAGCGCGCUUGACUGCGAGACAGACACGUCGAGCAGGUACGAAAGUAGGUCUUAGUGAUCCGGUGGUUCUGUAUGGAAGGGCCAUCGCUCAACGGAUAAAAGGUACUCCGGGGAUAACAGGCUGAUACCGCCCAAGAGUUCAUAUCGACGGCGGUGUUUGGCACCUCGAUGUCGGCUCAUCACAUCCUGGGGCUGAAGCCGGUCCCAAGGGUAUGGCUGUUCGCCAUUUAAAGUGGUACGCGAGCUGGGUUUAGAACGUCGUGAGACAGUUCGGUCCCUAUCUGCCGUGGACGUUUGAGAUUUGAGAGGGGCUGCUCCUAGUACGAGAGGACCGGAGUGGACGAACCUCUGGUGUUCCGGUUGUCACGCCAGUGGCAUUGCCGGGUAGCUAUGUUCGGAAUAGAUAACCGCUGAAAGCAUCUAAGCGGGAAACUAGCCUCAAGAUGAGAUCUCACUGGAACCUUGA